Molecule: ribosomal RNA, 393 nt
Filed under: Rhizosolenia sp.
Lineage: Eukaryota; Bacillariophyta; Coscinodiscophyceae; Rhizosoleniales; Rhizosoleniaceae
Description: partial small subunit ribosomal RNA
Rfam family: Eukaryotic small subunit ribosomal RNA
Source: RNAcentral
AUUCCAGCUCCGAUAGUGUAUAUUAAAGUUGUUGCAGUUAAAAAGCUCGUAGUUGGAUUUCUGGCGGGAGCGAUCGGUCCUUCACUCAGUGUUGGAACCUGAUUGUCUCCUGCCAUCCAUGGAGAAAACUUAUCUGGCAUUAAGUUGUCGGGUAGGCAAUCUCCAUCUUUUACUUUGAAAAAAUUAGAGUGCUCAAAGCAGGCUUUUACGCCUGAAUAUUCGUGCAUGGAAUAAUAGAAUAGGAAGUCGUUUCUAUUUUAUUGGUUUUCGGAAAUCGACUUAAUGAUUAAUAGGGACAGUCGGGGGCAUUUGUAUUCAAACGACAGAGGUGAAAUUCUUGGACCGUUUGAAGACAAACUACUGCGAAAGCAUUUGCCAAGAAUGUUUUCAUCG